This 296-nucleotide long non-coding RNA is filed under the name Elaeis guineensis (African oil palm). Its description in RNAcentral is "long non-coding RNA (EGUI_LNC048182)". The record is from RNAcentral. Lineage: Eukaryota; Viridiplantae; Streptophyta; Magnoliopsida; Arecales; Arecaceae.
UUACAAUGGCAAUUACUUGCCUCAUUUUGGGUGAUAUAUUUUAACAAAAUAUUUCAAUCUUAUAACGAACCCCUGUUGAAACAAUGAAGUUUUUAUUUUAAUUAUAACGGUUCUGUUAGGUACAUUGUUUUCUAUGUUUUUGAAUUAGCUAAUAUUAAAAUAAUACAUAUAAUAAUAAUGUUAUUGUAGAACAUAAUGGCUAAUAAUGGAAUUGUUGCCGCUGAUCCUAGGAUCAAUGUUGAUGCGAACUGCCUCACUAGAUAUAUGAGAUAAUAGAAAAGGAUUAGAGGGCUCAC